CCCCUAGAUGUUCUGGGCCGCACGCGCGCUACACUGAACAGUUCAACAAGUCUUAACCUUGGCCGAUAGGUCUGGGUAAUCUUUGAACGCUGUUCGUGAUUGGGAUAGACCUUUGCAAUUAUGGGUCUUCAACGAGGAAUUCCUAGUAAACGCAAGUCAUCAGCUUGCAUUGAUUACGUCCCUGCCCUGUGUACACACCGCCCGUCGCACCUACCGAUUGAAUGGUCCGGUGAAAUCUCGGGACGGCGGCUUGGUCGCUUGCGUCCGACUGCUGAAACUUGAUUAAACCAUAUCAUUUAGAGGAAGGUGAAGUCGUAACA
This 320-nucleotide ribosomal RNA is filed under the name uncultured eukaryote. Its description in RNAcentral is "partial 18S ribosomal RNA". It matches the Rfam family "Eukaryotic small subunit ribosomal RNA", at positions 1470 to 1796 of the family's 1831-position model. The record is from RNAcentral.